Molecule: ribosomal RNA, 441 nt
Filed under: uncultured bacterium
Lineage: Bacteria
Description: partial 16S ribosomal RNA
Rfam family: Bacterial small subunit ribosomal RNA
Source: RNAcentral
CCUACGGGUGGCAGCAGUGGGGGAUAUUGCACAAUGGGGGGAACCCUGAUGCAGCGACGCCGCGUGGGUGAAGGAGUGCUUCGGCAUGUAAAGCCCUAUCGGCAGGGAAGAAGCAAGACGGUACCUGACUAAGAAGCCCCGGCUAACUACGUGCCAGCAGCCGCGGUAAUACGUAGGGGGCGAGCGUUAUCCGGAUUCACUGGGUGUAAAGGGAGCGUAGACGGCCAUGCAAGUCAGAAGUGAAAGCCCAGGGCUCAACCCUGGGACUGCUUUUGAAACUGCCGGGCUGGAGUGCAGGAGAGGUAAGCGGAAUUCCUAGUGUAGCGGUGAAAUGCGUAGAUAUUAGGAGGAACACCAGUGGCGAAGGCGGCUUACUGGACUGUAACUGACGUUGAGGCUCGAAAGCGUGGGGAGCAAACAGGAUUAGAUACCCUUGUAGUC